Cordylochernes scorpioides is the source of this 73-nucleotide non-coding RNA. Lineage: Eukaryota; Metazoa; Arthropoda; Arachnida; Pseudoscorpiones; Chernetidae. The record is from the annotation of a GenBank genome assembly.
GGUGAAAUAGCUCAGCUGUGAAAGCUUUAGACUGAGGAUCUAAAUGUUCCUGGGUUGAACCUAUGUUUUGUCA